This 253-nucleotide ribosomal RNA is filed under the name uncultured bacterium. RNAcentral describes it as "partial 16S ribosomal RNA". It matches the Rfam family "Bacterial small subunit ribosomal RNA", at positions 524 to 776 of the family's 1533-position model. The record is from RNAcentral.
UACAGAGGUCCCGAGCGUUGUUCGGAUUCAUUGGGCGUAAAGGGUGCGUAGGCGGCGGGGCCAGUCUGAUGUGAAAUCCCGGGGCUCAACCCCGGAACUGCAUUGGAUACUGCCUGGCUAGAGUACUGGAGAGGGAACUGGAAUUUACGGUGUAGCAGUGAAAUGCGUAGAGAUCGUAAGGAAGGCCAGUGGCGAAGGCGAGUUCCUGGACAGUGACUGACGCUGAGGCACGAAGGCCAGGGGAGCAAACGGG